GUUAGACCUGCAAGAAGAUGGCCAUCCAAGGUAAGAGGUGCCAAAGGCACCCGCCAUCUUCUGCCGCCGAUGGCGGCUAUGCAGGUCAGGAGGU
This 94-nucleotide non-coding RNA is filed under the name unclassified sequences. RNAcentral describes it as "DUF1874 RNA". It matches the Rfam family "DUF1874 RNA". From Rfam's summary of the family: Hot springs metagenome only. Environment (Bison Hot Springs, Yellowstone) The record is from RNAcentral.